Molecule: long non-coding RNA, 200 nt
Filed under: Cicer arietinum (chickpea)
Lineage: Eukaryota; Viridiplantae; Streptophyta; Magnoliopsida; Fabales; Fabaceae
Description: long non-coding RNA (CARI_LNC000076)
Source: RNAcentral
UUUUAAAAAAAUUGAAAGUGUUAUUCAAUAGUGCAAAUGGAUUUUUAAAAAUUAUAUAAACUUGAUUUGCUACAAUAGUUGAGAGAUUGAACAAAAUUGGUUUUGAGAGAAGGUUAACUGAUUGCGGAAGACAUGAAAGAGUGGGUGGAAAAUAAAUGACUCUAUAACCGUAUGUUUUCGUUAUUUGUAGUUUCUUAUUG